RNAcentral lists this ribosomal RNA (460 nucleotides) under uncultured bacterium. RNAcentral's name for it is "partial 16S ribosomal RNA". It matches the Rfam family "Bacterial small subunit ribosomal RNA", at positions 338 to 795 of the family's 1533-position model. The record is from RNAcentral.
CCUACGGGUGGCAGCAGUGAGGAAUAUUGGUCAAUGGACGAGAGUCUGAACCAGCCAAGUAGCGUGAAGGAUGACUGCCCUAUGGGUUGUAAACUUCUUUUAUAUGGGAAUAAAAUGUUCCACGUGUGGGAUUUUGUAUGUAUCAUAUGAAUAAGGAUAGGCUAACUCCGUGCCAGCAGCCGCGGUAAUACGGAGGAUCCGAGCGUUAUCCGGUUUUAUUGGGUUUAAAGGGAGCGUAGGUGGACUGUUAAGUCAGUUGUGAAAGUUUGCGGCUCAACCGUAAAAUUGCAGUUGAAACUGGCAGUCUUGAGUACAGUAGAGGUGGGCGGAAUUCGUGGUGUAGCGGUGAAAUGCUUAGAUAUCACGAAGAACUCCGAUUGCGAAGGCAGUUCACUGGACUGCAACUGACACUGAGGCUCGAAAGUGUGGGUAUCAAACAGGAUUAGAUAUCCUUGUAGUC